CCAGAUAUUUUCAUUCUUUCACUUUCGCUCUCUUUCUCUCACUCCUUCUAGCGUAUUCCCAUAUUUUUCUAUUCCCUUCCUUCUCGAAGCUUCACCGUUCAAUGGCGGAUUCCGGUUUCACGUAACGACUAUCCGUUGUUUUCACUUUCCAUCCUUCAACAGAACCGAAUUUCCAUCUUUCAGAUCCAUCUCGUCGCUGAGAAACGGCGAGAGUAAAGGUUACUUUUGAGAUGGUUUUUCAAUGGAGAUUUGCGUUCGGAUCUCAGGGUUAUUACUUCCAGAGGUUAAAUACAUCUAAAACAUUCCUAAAGCCUUGUCAAUAUCCUUUGAAACAACAAUCUUACUGAGCCAAUUCAAAAGGAACAACAAGGUUGUUGUGAUCUUAGCAAGGUGAGUAGUGUGAUCAACUGGCCAAUCCCAAUCAAUGUAAAAGGCGAUCCUAGUUUCCUUGGGUUGAUAAGAUAUUAUAUAAAGUUUAUUGAUAAUUAUGCUUAAAAGGUUUUAGAGCAAGUGAAGUGGAAGUCACAAUGUGCUCGGUGUUGGCUCUUCCAUAUUUUGAUAUUUCGUUUGAGAUUAAGUGUAACGUUUCAAGCAAGGUUUUUUAAAGCUUUUGACACUUGUCAGAGAUAAAAGUAUGUUACCAUUAUUAUUAGUGGAUUAUUGUAACCUCUUUCUAUUCAAGUUUUGGUGUGGAAUGAGGUUUCUAUGAAUUUUAUCACAGUGUUGCCUAAGAUUAAAGGGUAAAAGGUUGUUUUGGUGGUGGUAGAUCGCCUCUCCAAGCACAACCACCAAUUAGUUUGUGUUCAGAACACUAGAUUGGUUGGCUUGGACUGAGUUGUGGCAUAACAAUGCAUUUAAUGUAUCUACGGGGCUUACUCCUUACUCCAUUUGAGAUUAUAUACGGUAGGAUAUCAUCAGAUUUGGUGCAAUAUUUGAAAGGAGUGACAAAUGAUAGAGAUAAAGUAUUGCGUCAACUCAAGUAUAAUCUAUUGAAGGCUCGGGAGAUAAUGAUGUUUUAUGUUGAUCAAAAGCGAAAAGAUUUGAAGUUUAAGGUGGGUGAUUGGGUUUUCUUAAAACUAAAUCUUGAUAGAUAAAAUUUUGCAGUGCAAAACACCCAUAAAAAAUUAUCUCCAGGUUUCUUUGGUCCCUACAAAAUUGUUCAACAGAUGGGGUGGCGUAUAAAUUAGAGCUACCAACAACUUCACGAGUUCAUCCUGUUUUCACAUGUCGCAAUUUAAGAAAACUACGGGAAAUUAUCAAACUGUUAUAGACCUACUUGCAAUCAUGAGGGAGGAUGGAGGAUCUAUAUGGCCUUACUCAACAUGACAUGGUGAUGUCAUUGAAGGGUAUGUUCAAAAGAGAGAUACAUCUGAGAUAAUGUUUAGUGCAAUGGAAAGGCAUGGACGCAAUUGAUGCUACUUGGGAGUUUGAACUACUUCUCAAAAGUUAAUUUUCAGAUAUUAAACUUGAGGGCAAGGCUUCUUUUGAAGGGAUAAGUAACAUUAAGCCCAUUCCAAUGGAGGAUGACAUUUUAUUGUACUUUAAGCAUGAUAGGCCUAAGAUUUAGAGAGUUCAUGAAAAAAUGAAAAAGAGAGUUGUGGAAGGUAGUGCCACAUAGAUCCACUUAAACAAUUAUAAAUUUCUCCCUAAUAAUAGGGAAGGCAAGACGUAUGUCUUAGGUCACAAUUUUAUUGUAUGAUUUGCAUUAGGUAGUAAGAGAAUUAUUCUUCUUUGUCUUGAGGAUCCCCUGACUCUAGAAUUGUAAUAGGAAUUUCAUUAUCAUUUAAUAAUACCAUUCAUUGUUUCAUUCAUUUUCUCUUUUAGAAUGCUCUAUCAAUAAGAGAGUGCAAGUUCAAAUGGCAUAUUUGGCUAAAUCUCUCUCUUAUGACUCAUUUAGGGCUAGUUCCAAAUGGCCUAUUGUCUUUGGUUUGAAGGACUCGUAUUUAAAUCCAUUAUCUUGCAUUUGCGAGAUCUUUCUACUGUACUACGUGAAUUUCCACAAAUAUCCUUCAUUUUCGGUGAUGCAUUUCUGGACGCAUCUCUUGCACACUAAAGUAAGGUCAUUCUGAAAGGCGCUCUAUAUGUUGGAUAAUUUAAUUUUUAUUCUAAAGAUGCAUCUCCGGAACAUUUUAAGAAAGACCUUAAUUAUUUAAUAAUUCAGUAGAUAUUUUGGAGAUGCAUCUCCGAAAUUAUGGGCGACAUUUUGAAAUUUACAUUACCUUUGCAUGUCAGAUAUUUUCGAAGAUGCAUUCAAAAAUACCUGAUAAAAGAACCAGCUGCAUGAUCGCACAGUCAUUGUUGAUAUAGUUGGUUUUCAACCAAACCCUUCACCCUGAAAAUCUUUCAUUCUCAAUCCAUUUUUCAC
Long non-coding RNA from Lathyrus oleraceus (garden pea), 2365 nucleotides. RefSeq lists it as uncharacterized. NCBI's taxonomy places the organism in Eukaryota, Viridiplantae, Streptophyta, Magnoliopsida, Fabales, Fabaceae. The transcript is spliced from 4 exons. The record is from RefSeq and is a predicted model, not a curated record.